RNAcentral lists this ribosomal RNA (426 nucleotides) under uncultured bacterium. RNAcentral's name for it is "partial 16S ribosomal RNA". It matches the Rfam family "Bacterial small subunit ribosomal RNA", at positions 354 to 796 of the family's 1533-position model. The record is from RNAcentral.
GUGAGGAAUAUUCCGCAAUGGGGGAAACCCUGACGGAGCAAUGCCGCGUGCAGGAUGAAGGCCCUCGGGUCGUAAACUGCUUUUAUAUGAGAAGAAUAUGACGGUAACAUAUGAAUAAGGGACGGCUAACUACGUGCCAGCAGCCGCGGUCAUACGUAGGUCCCAAGCGUUAUCCGGAGUGACUGGGCGUAAAGAGUUGCGUAGGCGGCUCGUUAAGCGUGAAAUGAAAUUUAUCGGCUCAACCGGUAAACUAUUUCGCGAACUGACGGGCUCGAGAGUAUGAGAGGUUACUGGAAUUUCUAGUGUAGCAGUGAAAUGCGUAGAUAUUAGAAAGAACACCAACGGCGUAGGCAGGUAACUGGCAUACAUCUGACGCUGAGGCACGAAAGCGUGGGGAGCGAACCGGAUUAGAAACCCGAGUAGUCC